CGCAUCUGUGCAUGCUGCAUAUCAAUAAGCGGAGGAAAAGAAACUAACAAGGAUUCCCCUAGUAACGGCGAGUGAAGCGGGAAGAGCUCAAAUUUGAAAUCUUAAAGGGUUUCCCUUUACGAAUUGUAGUUUAAAGAAGUGUUUUCUGUUGAGGUUUUGGUAAAAGUUCUUUGGAAUAGGACAUCAUAGAGGGUGAGAAUCCCGUAUUUGACCUUUACUUUCAACUUUGUGAUACACUUUCAAAGAGUCGGAUUGUUUGGGAAUGCAGUCCAAAAUGGGUGGUAAAUUUCAUCUAAAGCUAAAUAUUGGCGAGAGACCGAUAGCGAACAAGUACCGUGAGGGAAAGAUGAAAAGAACUUUGAAAAGAGAGUUAAACAGUACGUGAAAUUGUCAAAAGGGAAGCGUUUGACACCAGUGUUGUUUUUCUGAAAAUCAAUUGAAGAACUGUUUAUGCUAAGCUGUUUAGACUUUAUCAGCUAUCUGUUUAGUUUUGAGCUUUUCUUUAAUGCACUUUUCAGUUAACAAGUCAACAUCAAUUUCUUUUGCUGUAAAAAAGCUUGAGGAAGGUGGCUUGAGAUUCGUCUUAAGUGUUUAUAGCCUCUUGCCUAUGCAGUCGGAGAGAUUGAGGUCUGCAGCGUAGAUCCUUCGGGGCUAAAUGCAUUUGUGCUAAGUUAUAGCAUUUUAUAGACAACUUGUUGACUAUGAUUUGUCUUGUAGCUUACUCGCUUAUGUUAUUUUACCUACGCUUAGGAUGUUGAGUCGUAGAGCACGCAG
RNAcentral lists this ribosomal RNA (774 nucleotides) under uncultured Neocallimastigales. Its description in RNAcentral is "partial large subunit ribosomal RNA". It matches the Rfam family "Eukaryotic large subunit ribosomal RNA", at positions 24 to 628 of the family's 3401-position model. Lineage: Eukaryota; Fungi; Neocallimastigomycota; Neocallimastigomycetes; Neocallimastigales. The record is from RNAcentral.